Molecule: long non-coding RNA, 266 nt
Filed under: Homo sapiens (human)
Lineage: Eukaryota; Metazoa; Chordata; Mammalia; Primates; Hominidae
Description: non-protein coding lnc-TIPIN-3:1
Source: RNAcentral
UGGCAUCAGUCAUACCAGUGAAGAACAAGAAACUUCUGGAGGUCAAACUAGGGGAGCUGCCAAGCUGGAGCUUGAUGCAGGACUUCAGCAAUAGUGGCACUACCGGAGCAUUUUGAAGAGGUUAUUACUGGUACUACAAGCAGUGCAUUGACAUGAAGAAGGGGAGCAUCUCAGGGGUUACCAUGGUGCUGGCAAGCUACGUGCUCUUCAGCUACUGCCUUUCCUACAAGGAGCUCAAGCACAAGUGGCUAUGCAAGUACCACUGA